AACGGUCUAUACCUGCGGUACCUGCGGAAGGAUCAUUACCGAGUUUACAACUCCCAAACCCCUGUGAACAUACCACUUGUUGCCUCGGCGGAUCAGCCCGCUCCCGGUAAAACGGGACGGCCCGCCAGAGGACCCCUAAACUCUGUUUCUAUAUGUAACUUCUGAGUAAAACCAUAAAUAAAUCAAAACUUUUAACAACGGAUCUCU
RNAcentral lists this unclassified non-coding RNA (207 nucleotides) under soil metagenome. Its description in RNAcentral is "partial contains 5.8S ribosomal RNA, internal transcribed spacer 2, and large subunit ribosomal RNA". The record is from RNAcentral.